ACCUCUGCAAUAGGCGAAAGCUUGACAGGGUUAUUCUGAGUGAUUUCCGCUAAGGAGAUCUUUUGGCACCUCUAAAAAUGGUGCAGAAUAAGGGGUGGGCAAGCCUGGUGUCAGCCGCCGCGGUAAUACCAGCACCCCGAGUGGUCGGGACGAUUAUUGGGCCUAAAGCAUCCGUAGCCGGUUCUACAAGUCUUCCGUUAAAUCCACCUGCUUAACAGUUGGGCUGCAGAGGAUACUAUAGAGCUAGGAGGCGGGAGAGGCAAGCGGUACUUAGUGGGUAGGGGUAAAAUCCGUUGAUCCACUGAAGACCACCAGUGGCGAAGGCGGCUUGCCAGAACGCGCUCGACGGUGAGGGAUGAAAGCUGGGGGAGCAAACCGGAUUAGAUACCCGGGUAGUCCCAGCUGUAAACGAUGCAGACUCGGUGAUGAAUAGGCUUCGUGCCUAUUCAGUGCCGCAGGGAAGCCGUUAAGUCUGCCGCCUGGGGAGUACGGUCGCAAGACUGAAACUUAA
This 511-nucleotide ribosomal RNA is filed under the name uncultured archaeon. RNAcentral describes it as "bacterial SSU rRNA". It matches the Rfam family "Archaeal small subunit ribosomal RNA", at positions 346 to 859 of the family's 1478-position model. The record is from RNAcentral.